GUGCUCACUUUAGCAGCACAUACUCUAAAACUGGAAUGAUCCAGGGAAGAUUAGCAUGGCCUCUGUGCAAGGGCGACGUGCAAUUCUUGAAAUUAUAGUGAAUAAU
Small nuclear RNA from Cynocephalus volans (Philippine flying lemur), 106 nucleotides. Lineage: Eukaryota; Metazoa; Chordata; Mammalia; Dermoptera; Cynocephalidae. The record is from RefSeq and is a predicted model, not a curated record.